This 490-nucleotide ribosomal RNA is filed under the name uncultured bacterium. RNAcentral's name for it is "partial 16S ribosomal RNA". It matches the Rfam family "Bacterial small subunit ribosomal RNA", at positions 30 to 507 of the family's 1533-position model. The record is from RNAcentral.
AUUGAACGCUGGCGGCAGGCCUAACACAUGCAAGUCGAACGGUAACAGGAAGAAGCUUGCUUCUUUGCUGACGAGUGGCGGACGGGUGAGUAAUGUCUGGGAAACUGCCUGAUGGAGGGGGAUAACUACUGGAAACGGUAGCUAAUACCGCAUAACGUCGCAAGACCAAAGAGGGGGACCUUCGGGCCUCUUGCCAUCGGAUGUGCCCAGAUGGGAUUAGCUAGUAGGUGGGGUAACGGCUCACCUAGGCGACGAUCCUUAGCUGGUCUGAGAGGAUGACCAGCCACACUGGAACUGAGACACGGUCCAGACUCCUACGGGAGGCAGCAGUGGGGAAUAUUGCACAAUGGGCGCAAGCCUGAUGCAGCCAUGCCGCGUGUAUGAAGAAGGCCUUCGGGUUGUAAAGUACUUUCAGCGGGGAGGAAGGGAGUAAAGUUAAUACCUUUACUCAUUGACGUUACCCGCAGAAGAAGCACCGGCUAACUCCGUG